AGGCGAAGAUAGAACCUUCAUGAGCGUGAGCCUGGGCCACAAUCCCAUAGGUCUCUGUUGGCAAAGCCCCAGGACAACUGAGACUCACAGAA
Homo sapiens (human) is the source of this 92-nucleotide long non-coding RNA. NCBI's taxonomy places the organism in Eukaryota, Metazoa, Chordata, Mammalia, Primates, Hominidae. The record is from Ensembl.